RNAcentral lists this non-coding RNA (3218 nucleotides) under Pongo abelii (Sumatran orangutan). The record is from RNAcentral. Lineage: Eukaryota; Metazoa; Chordata; Mammalia; Primates; Hominidae.
GAUCGACAUGCACUUGGAUCAUUGCAGUUCCUGGGCCUGCUGUCAUCUCCCACUUCAGUACUUCCCACAUAUGACUACCAACUGUUAGACGAUGUGCUGCCAGACCAGCAUUUCAUUUCUUGGACAUCCGGCUAUUUACCCAGGAAAAGUCAUCCUUUGACUAUUUUCCAUGACCUUUCUCAUCUGACUCGUGAUCUGCCCGUCUUGUUACUCCCUAGCAGUGUGGUAAGUGAAUUCUUGUUUCUGCCUUAAAUCUACUUCUGUCUCAGCCAAAUUCAUUCUCCCAAGAAGACAAGGAUCGAGGACUGUGGAGCCAACCCAGACUUGCCACGGCUAACAAUGUUUCCUGGGAUCGCCUCCCAAAUAAACUGCUUGUACUUGAACCCUUAUCUCAGAGUUGACUGCUGGAAGAACCCCAGAUAAGACAAUCUGCGAGUAGAAAUGUCAGAUAAUGCAGUUAGAUAUGAAUCUGGAAUUCAGAGAAAAGGUUCAUGCAAUUUGUGAGUCAUCAUCAAAAAGAUGUCAUUUGUUCUGGUUAUCUACUGCAGGAAGACAGAUUACCCUAAAAUUUAGUGGCUGAAAACAACUAUAUUUUAUUGUAGCUUACAAUUUUGUGAAUUGGGAAUUAGAGCCUGUCUCAUCUGGGCAACUCUUCUGUUCCCCAUGGCAUCACCAUGAGGUCACUCCAUGAUAUUCAGCUACCAGACGAACUCAUCUGGAGUAUCCAAGUAUUCAUUCACGCUCAUAUCUGGCACCUUGGCAGGGAUGACUGGAAGCCUGGGCUCAGCUGGGACUGCUGACCAUAGUACCUACAAAUGGCCUCUUCAGCAUGGCUUCUUAAAUGGCUGCUCGGAGCUACCAAGAGACAGGAAGUAGAAGCUGCUGGUUUCUUAAGACCCGGAAAUGGUACAAUUUCAUUCCUGCCAUUGGUCAAAGCAGUCACAGAGCCUUCCAAGAGGAAACACAGACCCUCACUUCUCACUGGGAAGUAUGUCAAAGAGUUUGGGGCAUUUUUUUUUUUUUUUUUUGAGACGGAGUCUUGCUCUGUCUCCCAGGCUGGAGUGCAGUGGCAAGAUCUCGGCUCACUGCAACCUCCGCAUCCCAGAUUCAAGCAAUUCUCCUGCCUUGGCCUCCCAAGUAGCUGGGAUUACAGGCGUGCAUCACCACACUCGGCUAAUUUUUUGGUAUUUUUAGUAGAGACAGGGUUUCACCAUAUUGGCCAGGCUGGUCUCGAACUCCUGACCUUGUGAUUCACCCGCCUCGGCCUCCCAAAGUGCUGGGAUUACAGACAUGAGCCACUGCGCCCAGCCCUGAGGCUGUCUUUAAUCCACUACAACAUUGCAAAGCUGUGAGCCAGGAUGAGAAUGCCAGAGGUAUGAAUGUGGAAGUCCAAGCACUGAAACUUUCAAUGUUUAGAGACCAGUGAGAUAAAGAACCAGCAACAGAGACUCAGAACUAUAUCAUAUUCUGCUGAUAAGCCAAUAAGAUGAUAAUGAUAACUAAGAAUUGACAUUGGCUUCAGUGAUGUAGACAUAAUUGGGGACCUUGACAAGAGCAGUUUACUGGGGGUAGUUGAGUUGAAAGUUUGAUUGGUUCAAGAGAGAAUGGAAUGAGUGGAAAGAUAGUUCGUGAGUGCUAGCAAUUAUUUAGAGAAUUUCUGCUAUAAAUGGGAACAGGAGGAUGUAUCAGGAGCUAAUGGGAGAAAUGAGGUCAACAUUAUUUCCUGUGUAGCUUUUUCUUAUGCCCAAAUUCCACUGGAUAUCAUCCACUUCUGGUUACUUCUGGUUUGAGAUGUAUAGGUGAAGGAAUAGUUUUGGAUCCUCCUUUAUUACCUGUUUUAUUUGCAUAACCGGACAAUAACUAAACUUGCUUUAAAUAUCUCUUAAAGCGUUUUAAAUUCAAAAUUGGAGAGAGGAAUAUGAGAGUGGUUUUUGGUCAUCGUUUAGCCAUAUACAAUAUUGUCUUACCUUCUGCAUUUGAAGUUUUUGAUAUCUGAUAAAUGUUUGUAUUGUGUAGUUGAACAAGAAUUUGCCACAUGAAGGUUUACAGUUGUAGUUUUAUGUCAAGUUCUUUAUAGUAGUCCCCUCUCAUCUUUAUCCUCCACUUGGAACUAUCUACAGUAGUUCCAGGACCCCCCCUCCCAGUGGGUGAUUGAAACCAUGGAUAGUACCAAACCCUAUAUAUUUAUAUUAUGUUUUUCCUAUACAUACAUACCUAUGAUGUUUAAUUUCUAAAUUAGGCAGAGUAAGAGAUUAACAACAACUAAUAAUGAAAUAGAACAGUUAUAACAAUAUACUAUAAUAAAAGCUACAUGAAUGUGGUUUCUCCCUCUCAAAAUAUCUUACUGUACUCUCCUAUCUUUGGUCCAUGGUUGUCUGUGGGUGACUGAAACUGCACAUAAGGCAGGGGACUACUGUAACCACAGGUAUUGGAAGGCAGCAUAGCAGAGUAGUUAGGGUCAGGACUGUGGAGGAAGACUGCCUAGGUUCAUAUUAUGACAUAAACUCUCCAUGCCUCAAUUUUCUUAUCUAAUGUGGAGAUAAUAGUAGUAACUCAUUUGUAAAGUUAUUAUAAGGAUUAAAUGAGAAAAUACAUGUAAAACGCUUAGAGUAGCACAGGUCAUCACUUACUUAGUAUGUAGUAAGUAUUUGAUGAGGUUAGUUACUAUUGUUAUUGGGCAGUGAAUCAGUUGGGAAUGCUUUCGGCUACAAGGAGGAGAUUAGUGAUUGACAGUGGCUUCAAUAAGAAGCCUUUAUUUCUCUCACAGAGCAGGCACUGCAGAGGUAGGCAGCUGCUGAAACUGGUUCCUUUCUACAGCUCCAGGGCUCUGAGCUGGCCACUCUUCAGCUCCCUUGGACUCCCCCUGUUGUUUGCCACACCACCAAUCAUCACAUUCUCAAAGGCAUUCAAGGCAGACAGCUGGGAACAAGGAAGGGCAGAGAGUUUCUCUUCAUGAGCCUCCGUCUUAUUAGAGAAGAAAAAAGCCUGCCUUUUAUGUGUUCUUUUGUCUUGUUUUUUCCUGACUGUCUUCGUUUGAGAAAGUCCUCAGGCCAAGAAAUGGAGGUGCUGGCAGCUGGAGAUCAGGCUGUCUGUCCAUGGUGCACUGAUGUGGCACAGGCAAGGAAUAUGGCCGAGGCACCAAUUUGCUGCUACUGCUGUCUAACAGGCAUUGGAAGUCUUAUGCGUUCAAAAAUAAACUUCUGAUUUCUACUCCCAAA